RNAcentral lists this unclassified non-coding RNA (213 nucleotides) under Hevea brasiliensis (rubber tree). The record is from RNAcentral. Lineage: Eukaryota; Viridiplantae; Streptophyta; Magnoliopsida; Malpighiales; Euphorbiaceae.
AAAGGAAACCCAUAACCAUAGAGAGCACUUUAAGAAUCGAAUCAUUCCCCUCUCUAUCAAUGGUUUGAGCUUCCAAUGCUGAGCCACCCGGCGAGGAGAGCAAAGUCGACAUCAACUGGGACGCUGGACGACGCAAGGACCUACCACCAUUAGCUUUUUAAUCCUCACUAGUUACCAUCCUUGGCUAAACAGGCCACCGCUUCUCAGAUCUAG